RNAcentral lists this ribosomal RNA (279 nucleotides) under uncultured bacterium. RNAcentral's name for it is "partial 16S ribosomal RNA". It matches the Rfam family "Bacterial small subunit ribosomal RNA", at positions 506 to 784 of the family's 1533-position model. The record is from RNAcentral.
UGCCAGCAGCCGCGGUAAUACAGAGGGUGCGAGCGUUAAUCGGAAUUACUGGGCGUAAAGCGUGCGUAGGCGGAUAGUUAAGUUAGAUGUGAAAUCCCCGGGCUCAACCUGGGAACUGCAUUUAAGACCGGCAGUCUAGAAUCUUGUAGAGGGAAGUGGAAUUUCCGGUGUAGCGGUGAAAUGCGUAGAUAUCGGAAGGAACACCAGUGGCGAAGGCGGCUUCCUGGACAAAGAUUGACGCUGAGGUACGAAAGCGUGGAGAGCAAACAGGAUUAGAUA